AUGAACGCUAGCGGCAGGCUUAACACAUGCAAGUCGAGGGGCAACACGGGUAGCAAUACCUGGUGGCGACCGGCGCAAGGGUGCGUAACGCGUGAGCAACAUGCCCUAUACAGGGGGAUAAUCCAGGGAAACUUGGUCUAAUAUCCCAUAGUAUUUAGAGGUGGCAUCACCACUAAAUUAAAGCUUCGGUGGUAUAGGAUUGGCUCGCGUGACAUUAGCUGGAUGGUGGGGUAACGGCUCACCAUGGCGAUGACGUCUAGGGGUUCUGAGAGGAAGACCCCCCCACACUGGGACUGAGACACGGCCCAGACUCCUACGGGAGGCAGCAGUGAGGAAUAUUGGACAAUGGAUGGAAAUCUGAUCCAGCCAUGCCGCGUGCAGGAAGACGGCCCUAUGGGUUGUAAACUGCUUUUAUAUGGGAGCAAUAAGGUUUACGCGUAGACCGAUGAGAGUACCAUAUGAAUAAGCAUCGGCUAACUCCGUG
Molecule: ribosomal RNA, 484 nt
Filed under: uncultured bacterium
Lineage: Bacteria
Description: bacterial SSU rRNA
Rfam family: Bacterial small subunit ribosomal RNA
Source: RNAcentral